CACUCGAUGGCGCAAGGUGCGCACUUGCUACAUUGUCGGAUAUGUAACACAUGUGUAAGCAGGGAGGUCCUCGUUCGAUUCGGGGUCGGGUGA
Non-coding RNA from Mycena leptocephala, 93 nucleotides. The record is from the annotation of a GenBank genome assembly. Lineage: Eukaryota; Fungi; Basidiomycota; Agaricomycetes; Agaricales; Mycenaceae.